AGAGUUUGAUCCUGGCUCAGGAUGAACGCUAGCUACAGGCUUAACACAUGCAAGUCGAGGGGAAACGACAUCGAAAGCUUGCUUUUGAUGGGCGUCGACCGGCGCACGGGUGAGUAACGCGUCUCCAACCUGCCCACCACUUGGGGAUAACCUUGCGAAAGUAAGACUAAUACCCAAUGACGUCUCUAGAAGACAUCUGAAAGAGAUUAAAGAUUUAUCGGUGAUGGAUGGGGAUGCGUCUGAUUAGCUUGUUGGCGGGGUAACGGCCACCGAAGGCGACGAUCAGUAGGGGUUCUGAGAGGAAGGUCCCCCANAUUGGAACUGAGACACGGUCCAAACUCCUACGGGAGCA
RNAcentral lists this ribosomal RNA (352 nucleotides) under uncultured bacterium. RNAcentral describes it as "bacterial SSU rRNA". It matches the Rfam family "Bacterial small subunit ribosomal RNA", at positions 8 to 349 of the family's 1533-position model. The record is from RNAcentral.